AAAAAAAAUCUAAAUCCAAAAUUCCUAAUCAAUGUUUUUAAAGGACCUCUUUAACUAGAUAGGCUAUGUUUAGGACUAUUUUAUUAUAAACUUUUUCUAAAAUGGUAUUUUUGAACUGUGUUGAUAAUUUUUGGAAUCUUAAAUGCUUUUGACAUAGUCUAAUUCUAUUUCUUAACACAUAAUAGGAAUUCAUCAAACCAGAUUUGUUUUAGAAUCUGAGGAAAUCAUGCUUUCUAGCCUUUCCAUUCUGUAGAUUGCUUAGCAUAUUGGUUAGUUCUGAUAGGGAUUACUCCUUAAAAGCAGCCUGGGGGUUCUAUAGGCAGUCUGUUUUUAAGUAUGUUGAAUUGUUUAAGGAAAGGUCUGAUAUAAGCAUGGCUUAUUUAAAUAAAAAUUGACUUGGAGUUUCACCUUCAGGUAGCACUAUAAAUUUGAACUCCUUAAGAUGUUUUUCAUGCUCUAAAAUUCUAAUCCCUAAGGUAAAUAUCUAAGAUGCUAGGAACAAUUUAAAUAUAAUUUUACUGUACCUGCGUUUCUGUUAAGCAGAUCAUAGAUCGUAGAGCUUUAGGAUAACUUCUUUGUUCCUCUUAAAACCCUGAGGGGUGGAGUGGGGGAUGUGUAAGUGAGCAGUGUGCCUAAUCUUCCUUCCUCUCUCUCAAGUGAUCACUCAGUUUUUGAAUUGCUAUUGGUUGUAAUAGGGCCGAGAUAACAGCUACUUGCAUUUGUAUUCAUUUUGGUUCACAUUUAUGAGCAGGUUUGCCACUAUGUUUGUGGCACCUUUCCCUGUGAAACUUUUGUUAAUAGGAUAUUCCUCUUCACUUAUCUUUAAAAUGAAUAAAUGAGAGAAAUACAAGUCCUUGGAGAUAGAAUUUAUGGUAAAAAAACAAAAAACCCAGUUCUUCAUGAUAGUCAGUAUCUGUCAUAUAGCUGAACAUGAAGCACAUUUGAGCUUCUGGGUAAAGAACGUGAUGCCAAGAAUCAUAGGGAUGAAAAGAUGAAGCAAACGCAGCGCUCACUUUCCAUGAGCGUUUGGGGCGGCCAGUGUCUCCAUCCAUAGAGCCUCGAAUGAACCUCUAUUGUGGCGGUUACGAUGCCUUGCAGUUUGCUUGAAAUGCUUUUGCCUGGCAUGAGUCUAUACGUUCCUUACGUAUAAAAUCUGUAUUGCUUAGUACAGGGCUUGGUGGGUACUCAGUGAGUAUUUGUUACAAGAAUGAAAAGCUGCGUUUCUCAAAUGGGGCAUAAAUCAGAAUCGCAUGUGGAGCCUUUUUAAAAAAAAUUCGAUAACUCAGUAGUUCUCACCCUCAGUCUCCAGGAUUGGGACUUGGGUAUGUGUAUAUUAAUGUAUAUUUUUAACAUUUUAUUAUGGAAGAUUUCAAAGAUAUAAAAGAAUAAACAGAAUAGUAAAGUGAACCCCUUGUAUGCAUCACCCAGUUUAAAUGGCAUCAACAUUUAGCUGAUUUUAUUUCACCUAUCCUCCCAACAUUUCUUUUGCCUGGAGUAUUUAAAAAAAACAAAUGUAUUUUAAUAGGAAAUUUCAAACGUGCGUAAGAGUAGAAUGGUAUAAUGAGCCUGUAUGUACCUAUUGCCCUUGGUGUAGUGUAUUAAAGCAAAUUCCAGACACUAUGUCACUUUACUACUAAAUAGGGCAUAUCUAUAUUUUUGUAACCUCUGUAGGAGAUUCUGAUGCACUGUCCUGCUUUAGAUAAUAUAAACAUAGGGGAAAAUAGUAUCACAGCCAAAGGGCUAUGGGAUUCAGAGGCAUGAACAAUUUCAUUUGGUUUAGUGGAUCUGAGGUGUAAGGGAGGAAAUUUAUCUUUUCCUCGCCUAUCACUAGAUUCAUGGCUGAGGUCUCUCUAACAGAAGACCAACUAUCAAGAGAAAUUUCAACAUAGAAAUUUAUUUAGUAAGUUUUACUUGACACAGGAGCCUUCAUAAAACAUACCUGUGUAUGUUUUCUGUUAGUUAUGAUAUGGAAGAGGAUAGUAAUGGAGAAGCAUAAUUAGAUAAAACAGUAUGAUCUAAUAAUAAACUGGGAAGAACUUAGCAAGGCCUGUUUGCUCAGAUUUUUCUCUGUGACCCUUCAUAUUCAGACUUAAGGAUGUUGUUUUCCUCUGUGUAUAGAGAGGGCACCUCUUAAAUGAGGGUCUUAUGACCUGCAUCAGCGGAAGGUCAGAAAAUCUUUCCUAGGUUUUAUGACCUGCUUCAGGAGAGAAGGUCAAGAUACAAAAGAUAUCCAAAAUUGUAAAGAGUUCCUUUUUGCCCCUUCCUAGUCAAAGAAGGGGUAAGUGCUAUUCUGACUUACUUAACAAAAAAUAACCUUGAACUGGUAGGAUUUUUUUUGACGGUAGGAUUUUUUUUGACGGGAAGAAGUAAGGAAAAGAGCAAUACGGAUGUUUAAAAAUGAGAAGGUGAGAAUCUUAUAGAUGAGUAGGUGUCUGGUACAGAAGUCUUAGUGGAGAGUUGGUACUGGAAUCCUGGUCUAAGGUAUUAGGUUUUAAUUUGCUAGACAAAGAGAACUCAAGCAGUGCUGUCUAGGAGUGUUAUGUAAGCUAGAUUGGACUUUAGAGUCCGGAGACCAUGCGGGAAGAUACUGUGUGAUAAGGGCCUGAAACAUGUUGGUUACAGUGAGACUAGAAAUGGGAUAAAUCCAGAGCUGUUUCACCAGUAGACUUGCCUGAAUAUCCUGUCUGACUGAGUAUGGAUCAGAAAGAAAAGAAGGGGUGAUGGGAAACGAGCCUAGAUUGACUAGAGAAACCUAGAAAUAGAAAAAUCGGGAAGGCAAAGUGAUUUGAAUGAUAAUGCCAUAUAUUCAGUUGUCCCUGGUGGCCAGAUAUUAUAGUAUAGAUAUUAUACAGGCAAAGAAGAACAGAGGGAUAGAGUGUGAAGGUACAGAUUUUGAGUUUAAGCACAUUAGGGGGCUUAGUGUUCUGGAUGAAGAAAACCUAUAAAAGUUAUUGUAUGCUAGGUAUUGUUUGCAAAAAAGUAGAAAAUGGAGAAAUAACCCAGUGGGUUAAAGAAGAAACAGACUAAAUAAACAAACCUGAGUAAGUUGUUCCUAAAUUUUAUUUUAGAGACAAUUCCUUAUUUUGCUUUAGUUUUCUCAAUUAUUGGCUCACUUUUCUGUUUCUUUCUGUGUCAGCAUACAUGGAAAAAGGAGUUAAUUUUAGAUUCAAAACAAAAACUGGAAAAAAAAAGUCUGAAAUGGGUAAUACCUAGGACCUAGUAUAUAUGUGUUAUUAAGGCUCUAUCCCUGAAUUUUUAAUGCAGUUAUCUAUUUUUCAUGGAUUCUUUGUUUAUUCCCCAUAAGGAACACCUGGGUUUGGAGAGUGGGAAGGUAGAUGAGAAAACCCAAGUGACAAAUAAUGUUUAGUUUAUUAUUAGAACCAACUAUGAGUUGUGACCCUUAUCUUCUGCACUGGGAAUUACAGAUUUUUUUCAGGGUUUUUCUAACGUGAAAAGAGUUUAUUGGUGUAGGAAAACAUCUGGUUCCAAAAUAUAGAUCAUCCUUAUUGAGCCCCAUGAUGCGUUAUCUUAAUUUUUAAAGCCUUUUUUGUCUCAUACUGGAGUUUAUUGUACCCCUUAAAAAUAUUAAGUCACAUAUUUAACCUGAUAAAAGCAAAAAUCAUUAUAAAAAUCUUUAGGCUGGGUGUGGUGGCUUAUGCUUGUAAUCCUAGCGCUUUGACAGGCCAAGGUGGGUGGAUUGCUUAAAACCCAGGAGUUGUAGACCAGCCUGGGCAACAUGGUGAAACCCCAUUUCUGCAAAAAAUACAAAAAAUUAGCCAGGCAUGGUGGCAUGUACCUGUAAUCCUAGCUACUCGAGAGGCUGAAGUGGGAGGAUUGCUUUAGCUUGGGAGUUCAAAGCUGCAGUAAGCCAUGAUUGUGCCACUCUACUCCAGCCUGGGCAACAGAGUGAGACCCCAUCUCAAAAAAAUUUAUUAAGUUAAAAUCUUUAACAAUAAAGCCAUUUGGAGUCGUAUUUUGCGACAUUCUCAAUAUAGUUUUCCAACUUGCAUUAAAAUACAUUUUAAACAUUUUUGAAGACUAAAUUUAUUUUUUUUUAACUGACAGUUAUGUUUCAUUUGACAACCUUUUGCUGUAUAUUUUUAUGUGGACUUUUAGGUAUUGUAGUGAUUCCUUUAAUGAAGAAAUAAAAUAAUUGUCAUUUAAAAAUGCAUAUUAUUAUUACCUUAUGCUAUAAAAAUAGUUUUAAAAUAGAGUAUGUUUAUUAAGAUUUAAAAAUAAGUAUAGUCAUGCACCGCAUAACAGCGUUUUAGUCAGACUGCAUAAGAUUACGAUGGAGCUGAAAAAUUACUGUCACGCAAAUACUUACCAUUGCGUUAUUAUUUCCAUACACUGUUCAGUACAGUAACAUAUAUGCUGUACAGGUUUGUAGCCUAGGAGCAACAGGCUAUACAGCAUAGCUUAGGUGUGUAGUAGGUUAUACCAUCUAGGUUUGUGUAAGUGCACUAUCAUGUUUGUAUAACAACAAAAUUGCCCAACAGCUCAUUUCUCUUUAUGUAUCCAUGACUGUAUAUUUUUUAUUGUGGUAAAAAACACUUAACAUGAGACCUACCUUCUUCCACAAAUUUUUAAGGGUACAAUAUAGUAUUGUUAACUGUCUGUACAUUGUUACAUAGCAGACCUCUGGACCUUUUCAUCUUGCAUGACUGAAAUUAUCCCCAUUGAACAGCCCCCCCCAAUUUUCGUCUCCCUCUCACCCCUGGUAACCACCGUUUUACUUUCUGAUUUGAUGAGUUUCACUGUUUUAGACACCUGAUAUUAGUGGAUUCAUGCAAUAUUUGUCCUUCUGUGACUGGCUUAUUUCACUUAGUGUAAUGUCCUCAAGAUUCAUCCAUGUUGUAGUAUAUGACGGGAUUUUUUUUAAGGAUACAUAAUAUUUGGUUGUAUGUAUAUUACCACAUUUAUUUUAUCCAUUCAACUGUCCUGGACAUUUAGGUGGUUGUUAGUGUCUUGACUGCUGUGACAAAAUAAGUACUUUUAAAAGUCUCACAUUUGCAAGUUCAAUUUGAACCUUUUUUUAGUCUGCUUGUACUUCUCUUAUCAAGCAAGAAAGCACUUUUCUGCUUUUCCUAUUACUAGUAACAGUGGAGAUUAAAUAUCUCAUGUUUUUGGGCAUUCUAGAGCCCAACACAUCACCUGUUCCUUUCCAUACUACCACAACUGACACUCUCUGGAAAGUGCCACCUCCCUGCAGCAGGCCAACCAGUACAAAAAUAGUACAUUAAACCAGCAAAGCUAAGAACCCUCAAAGAGUACAUUUCACCCUCCUACCGCCUCCACUGGAACAGGUGCUGGUAUCCACAGCUGAGAGACCCACAGAUGGUUCACAUCUCCCGACUCUGUGCAGACUACCCCCCAGUACCAGCCUGGAGCCUGGUAGACUUGCUGGGUGGCUAGAUCCAGAAGAGAGAUAGCAAUCACUACAGCUCAGCUCUCAGGAAGCCACAUCCAUAGGAAAAGGGAGAGAGUACUACAUCAAGGGAACACCCCGUAGGACGAAAGAAUCUGAACAACAACCUUCAGCCCUAGACCUUCUCUCUGACAGAGCCUACCCAAAUGAGAAGGAACCAGAAAACCGACCCUGGUAGUAUGACAAAACAAGGUUCUUUAACACCCCCCAAAAAAUCCCACUAGCUCACCAGCAAUGGAUCCAAACUAAGAAGAAAUCCCUGACUUACUUGAAAAAGAAUUCACUAGGUUGGUUAUUAAGCUAAGGCACCAGAGAAAGGUGAAGCCCAAUGUAAAGAUAUA
Long non-coding RNA from Homo sapiens (human), 5769 nucleotides. RefSeq lists it as uncharacterized. The record is from RefSeq and is a predicted model, not a curated record. The transcript is spliced from 2 exons. Lineage: Eukaryota; Metazoa; Chordata; Mammalia; Primates; Hominidae.